Long non-coding RNA from Homo sapiens (human), 801 nucleotides. Ensembl annotates it as PPFIA2 antisense RNA 1. Its record names the gene PPFIA2-AS1. The record is from Ensembl. Lineage: Eukaryota; Metazoa; Chordata; Mammalia; Primates; Hominidae.
CAGAGAAAGGAUUAUUUGAGGACACCAAGAGGUGACCAUCAGCAAGCCCAGGAGAGAGGCCUCAGAAGAAACCAGACCUGCUGAUUCCUUGAUCUUGAACUUCUAGCCUCCGGAACUAUCCAACUUGAAUGCUUCCUGAUUAAAUAUAUACAGGAGUGAUUUCAGAGGAAUUUAAGUUUUGGAUCAUUCUUUUGAGAAAGAAAGAAAAGUACCCUUUUAAAAGAGUUUCUUAUUUUAAAUAUACAGGUGGCUCUUGAACAACACAGGUUUGAACUGCAUCAUUCCACUUAUACACAGACUUUCUUCUGCCACUGCCACUCCUGAGACAACAUGACCAAUCUCUCCCCUUCCUCCUCCUCAGCGUACUUUCAACAUAAAGACGACGAGGAUAAAGGCAUUUAUGAUGAACUACUUCCACAUAAUGAAUAGUAAAUAUAAUUUCUCUUCCCUAUGAUUUUCUUAAUAAUAUUUUCUUUUCUCUAGCUUACUUUAUUGUACGAAUGGAGCAUAUAUGUGUACAUAUAAAACACAUAAUACAUGCUUAUCAACUAUUUGUGUUAUCAGUAAGGCUUCCAGUCAACAGUAGGCUCUUAGUAGUUAAGUCUUGGGAGAGCCAAAAAUUCUAGCUGAUUUUUUGACUGUGUGUGGGGGGUCAGCACCCUUAACUCCUAUCUUAUUCAAGGGGCUAUUGUAUUCUAAAUUGUCUUUUAGCUUGAGUCAUAAUCCAGGUAUAGUGAAAAACAUUUGUGUCUAUUUAAAAAUAAUAUAGGUAAGAAUUUUAAAAAUUAUAUAUUUUUCCUA